Molecule: ribosomal RNA, 467 nt
Filed under: uncultured bacterium
Lineage: Bacteria
Description: bacterial SSU rRNA
Rfam family: Bacterial small subunit ribosomal RNA
Source: RNAcentral
UUCGCAAUGCCCGAAAGGCUGACGCAGCGACGCCGCGUGGAGGAUGACGCCCUUCGGGGUGUAAACUCCUGUUGCCCGGGACGAACGACCCGUUUCGACGGGUGUGACGGUACCGGGUGAGGAAGCACCGGCUAACUCUGUGCCGGCAGCCACGGUAAUACAGAGGGUGCGAGCGUUGUCCGGAAUCACUGGGCGUAAAGGGCGCGUAGGCGGUCGGGUAAGCGGGUGGUGAAAGCCCGGGGCUCAACCCCGGGUCGGCCAUGCGAACUGUCCGACUGGAGCACGGUAGAGGCACAUGGAAUUCCGGGUGUAGCGGUGGAAUGCGUAGAGAUCCGGAAGAACACCGGUGGCGAAGGCGGUGUGCUGGGCCGUAGCUGACGCUGAGGCGCGACAGCGUGGGGAGCAAACAGGAUUAGAUACCCUGGUAGUCCACGCCGUAAACGAUGGGCACUAAGUAGAGGGGUUUU